AUUGAACGCUGGCGGCAGGCCUAACACAUGCAAGUCGAACGGUAACAGAAAGCAGCUUGCUGCUUUGCUGACGAGUGGCGGACGGGUGAGUCAUGUCUGGGAAACUGCUUGAUGGAGGGGGAUAACUACUGGAAACGGUAGCAAAUACGGCAUAACUUUUCAAGACCAUAGUGGGGGACUGUCGGACGGCUUUCCAUUGACUGAUACCAGAUGGGAUUCGCUAGUAGGUGGGGGAACGGCUCACCUAGGCGACAAUCCCUAGCUGGUCUGAGAGGAUGACCCGCCACACUGGAACUGAGACACGGUCCAGACUCCUACGGGAGGCAGCAGUGGGGAAUAUUUCACAAUGGGCGCAAGCCUGAUGCAGCCAUGCCGCGUGUAUGAAGAAGGCCUUCGGGUUGUAAAGUACUUUCAGCGGGGAGGAAGGGAGUAAAGUUAAUACCUUUGCUCAUUGACGUUACCCGAAGAAGAAGCCCCGGCUAACUCCGUG
Molecule: ribosomal RNA, 490 nt
Filed under: uncultured bacterium
Lineage: Bacteria
Description: partial 16S ribosomal RNA
Rfam family: Bacterial small subunit ribosomal RNA
Source: RNAcentral